CUCGCCGUGGAUUGUAUUUUUAACGUGUGCCCCAUUUUUUAUAAUUAUUUAGGACGUGGCCGGUGACAGUUGAUAUAAGGGAUAGUUAAUCGGGUAAAAAUUCAAAAUAUUUAAUUGAACCGGAAUACAAAAAAUACAACUUGUACAACUGGCGUAUUUUUUCUAACCGGAAAGUAAAAAAACAAAGCAGCCACCAUGGACGCGAUCAAGAAGAAGAUGCAGGCGAUGAAGCUGGAGAAGGACAAUGCCAUGGACAAGGCAGACACCUGCGAGCAGCAGGCCAGGGACGCCAACCUCCGUGCCGAGAAGGUCAAUGAGGAAGUCCGUGAACUCCAGAAGAAGCUCCUCCAGGUGGAAGAGGACUUGGCUCUCAACAAGAACAAGUUGGAGCAGGCCAACAAGGACCUGGAAGAGAAGGAGAAGCAGCUCACCGCUACUGAGGCGGAGGUGGCGGCCCUCAACAGAAAGGUGCAGCAGAUUGAAGAGGACCUGGAGAAGUCAGAAGAGAGGUCUGGCACCGCCCAGCAGAAACUUCUAGAAGCACAACAGUCCGCUGACGAAAACAACCGUAUGUGCAAAGUGUUGGAGAACAGAGCACAGCAGGAUGAGGAGCGUAUGGACCAACUCACCAACCAGCUGAAGGAGGCCCGUCUCCUCGCUGAGGACGCUGACGGCAAAUCCGACGAGGUAUCCCGCAAGCUGGCCUUCGUUGAAGACGAGCUUGAAGUAGCUGAAGACCGUGUCAAAUCUGGUGAUGCCAAGAUUUCGGAACUUGAGGAGGAAUUGAAGGUCGUAGGUAACUCCCUUAAAUCACUGGAGGUCUCAGAAGAGAAGGCCAACCAGCGUGUAGAAGAAUUCAAAAAGCAAUUGAAGACCCUCACCUCCAAACUGAAGGAAGCUGAGGCUCGCGCCGAAUACGCAGAAAAGACCGUCAAGAAACUACAGAAGGAAGUCGACAGGCUCGAAGACUCGUUGUUCAACGAUAAGGAGAAAUACAAGGCGAUAUGUGACGACCUCGAUGGCACAUUCGCCGAGUUGACAGGAUACUAACUUCCCUUAGCACUUAGUUUAAGACAGUACCGUCCUUUAGCUGUCUCCAUAUUAGAAACUCGAAAUUUAGCCUUUAAAUUUUACCGCCCUAGAUCAGUUUUACGUGUUUAUUGGGAAGUCGUCAUAAUAUGUUCUAGAUUGCUAAUAACUUCUCUUUAAUCCUAACCCCAUCGAUAUUUAGAGGAUUGUCCUUAACCUAGACAAAUAACGAAUCGCGGACAAUCCUUUAGAAAUCGCCUUCAUACAAUAAACCUUGCUUUCUGUGUUGUGAUUAAUAUGUCUUACGCUUUGCUGCUACCGCCGUGGACCAAUGCUUCUAAGACGAGCUGGGAAUCAACAAGGACAGAUACAAGAGCCUCGCGGACGAAAUGGACUCCACCUUCGCCGAAUUGGCCGGAUACUAAACACACCCGAUGCAGCCGCGCUGCUAUACGAACUCUUCUACUCGUGAUGUAAUUUAUUAAUAUUUAUGUAAAUUUAUUUACGAUUUUCAAUAAAAUUAUUUAUAACAUCUU
This is an RNA transcript of Zerene cesonia (dogface butterfly), 1565 nucleotides long. It is a transcript of the gene named tropomyosin-1, with no coding region annotated. The record is from RefSeq and is a predicted model, not a curated record. The transcript has 8 exons. NCBI's taxonomy places the organism in Eukaryota, Metazoa, Arthropoda, Insecta, Lepidoptera, Pieridae.